UAUAAAGGUGGGCCAUGGGGAAAGCCAAGGCAAUAGUCUUUAUCCUUCCCAAAGAGGACAACAGCUGUGGCAUUUAUCACUGGGUGGUCUCUUUCCACACAGAGGAGAAUUAGGAGACAGAAGGAGGUGGCCAUCCUGCUGUUGUGGAAUGAUGAGAAGGCAGGUUUGCUUGCUGAGUAGAAUUGCAGUUUGAACAUUGCUGAUAUCCAUGCUACUGCCACCACAAGAAUCUUAGGAUAUUUUUGAUGCAAGGCACCAAUGAGGAAGAACUGCUUUUCCACAAAAUAUGCAACCAAGCAAUCUUGAAAAGUAGAUGCAAAUGGAUAAGAUGUUUGUCGGAACAAUUUGUAAGAAGGAAAGAGGAAAUAUGAAUAGAACUGGAACAAAUUCUACAAAAAUGAGAUAUUCUGAGGAAGAAUAGGAGAACUGGAACAAAUUCUACAAAAAUGAGGAGAUAUUCUGGGGAAGAAUUGCUUAAUAAAACCAGAAGCAUUCAGAAAGCU
Molecule: long non-coding RNA, 503 nt
Organism: Podarcis raffonei (Aeolian wall lizard)
Lineage: Eukaryota; Metazoa; Chordata; Lepidosauria; Squamata; Lacertidae
Exons: 3
Source: RefSeq, a predicted model, not a curated record